Oxyura jamaicensis (ruddy duck) is the source of this 234-nucleotide long non-coding RNA. RefSeq lists it as uncharacterized. NCBI's taxonomy places the organism in Eukaryota, Metazoa, Chordata, Aves, Anseriformes, Anatidae. The record is from RefSeq and is a predicted model, not a curated record. The transcript is spliced from 3 exons.
AGAACACAUUAGUUCCAACUAAAAGAGGAAAAGGAGAGUACAAUUAAGUAAUGUUUACUGCAGUGAUAAAGAAAUUUUAGAGAGAAACUACAAAAGCAAUGUUAAAAUGGUUUGCACUCAUCAACAGAAUCCUACCCCAUGAUUCAGAACAGGAAUUCUACGAUGUUAACCUGGAGGACAUCUCCUGAAGUUGAGCAUUCCUGCCUCACCCAAGACACAGAAGCAGAAACGACC